GACGAACGCUGGCGGCGUGCUUAACACAUGCAAGUCGAACGGUGAAGCGCUUGCCUUUUUGGUGGGUGUGGAUGAGUGGCGAACGGGUGAGUAACACGUGAGUAACCUGCCCUCUUCUUCUGGAUAACCUCAUGAAAGUGGGGCUAAUACGGGGUAUUCCGGGUCUGUCGCAUGGCGGGUUUGGGAAAGAUUGCGCCUUUGGGUGUUUUCGGUGGGGGAUGGGCUCGCGGCCUAUCAGCUUGUUGGUGGGGUGAUGGCCUACCAAGGCGGUGACGGGUAGCCGGCCUGAGAGGGUGGACGGCCACACUGGGACUGAGACACGGCCCAGAGUCCUGCGGGAGGCAGCAGUGGGGAAUAUUGCACAAUGGGCGCAAGCCUGAUGCAGCGACGCCGCGUGAGGGAUGGAGGCCGUCGGGUUGUGAACCUCUUUCGCCAGUGAAGCAGGCCUGCUCCUGUGUGGGUGGGUUGACGGUAGCUGGAUAAGAAGCGCCGGCUAACUACGUG
This 504-nucleotide ribosomal RNA is filed under the name uncultured bacterium. RNAcentral describes it as "partial 16S ribosomal RNA". It matches the Rfam family "Bacterial small subunit ribosomal RNA", at positions 28 to 507 of the family's 1533-position model. The record is from RNAcentral.